AUUGCUAAAAACUCAAAAAAGGGUGAAUUCGCAAACAAUCUUGGAACACCUAGGUUAAUAGUAUACAACAACAACAUAAUAGUGCCUACAAAUAUGACAAUAAAAAUAACCGGCAUAUUCAUGCUCCCGGAUUUGCAACAUUGACGCCAAAGUCUUCGUCAAAUCUGUAAUAAGUUCAGGUGAAUAUGUCAAUCUGAAGCAGCAAACAUUGUAUGAAGAUGGAAACACCAACAAACGACGAACAAACCCAACACCAUACUAAGACGAUAAAAACUUUAAAAAACACACAAAAGAAAAGAAAUAUAUGGAUAAAAAGAGAGAAAGAAACGGUGGGGUGAUUUCAGGCUAAAAAUUGUCAAAAACUAAAAAGAGAUAAAGAAACGGUGGGGUGUGAUUUCAGGCUAAAAAUUGUCAAAAACUAUGGAAAAAUAAAAUGAGAGACAAAAACCCAUUUGGGGUUAGCCUAGUGGUUGACUUGGGAUCUUGGAGUUUGCUCCUCCAGAGGUCUCGGGUUUGAUUCCCUCUAGUCUCAAUUUUGGUGGGCUAAGUCCACACUGAGCUUGCUCUGGCUUUAAAUGGGACUCCCAUAAGUGGGCAGUGGGAUUGGUCCCCUCAGAUUAGUCGAUUCUUGGAUCGGAUACCGAGUUUAAAAAAAAAAAAUGAAAGAAAAGUUGAGAGAAUGUGGGAAGUGGCUAACCUUAAAAGUUGCUUGAUUUUGCAUUAUAUUUUAUUCAGCUAAUAAUGAGUGUGCGUAAGUGGUCGACCAUUAAAUAAUUAAUUAUUUUAGAACUAUGAAAUACCGACACAAACACCAAACAUAAUUGAUAGUGAAAUAAACACUAACGCGUACACUAAUAAUGAUUUAAAAAAAUGACAUAAUUAAAUAUAACCAAAUGUAUGGUGUUAGACACUCACAAAUACACACACUUAAACAUGAAUAAAAUUAUGGUUUUAAGUUUAAUACUUUUAACUUAACUGCAGUAGAAAAAAAAUGUAUUGCUGCCAAAGGAACUAGGCUUUUUGUGAAAAAGCACAAAGCAGUUGUAGCAUGUAUGUAUACAUAUUUUUUGUGAACUAAAGCAACUUGGCUUCAAAGAAAUUAUCUAUAACUAAGUGGAAUCCGCAAUAAAGGCACUGGAUAUGGUGUUGAAUUGUGAUUUGUUUUGAGACUGUAUUAUAAAGUUUAAAAGCUCACAUCAAUUGAGAGAAGAGUUACCCUGCUCUACGCCUCUACAUGCUCAAAUCAUUAGUCAUGCUGAUACAACUUUAGGGAUUAUCAGGUCCUUUCCAGCUGAAAAUACCAACUGCUACCUGUUGGGGUUGCUAAAAGUUACUAAGUGCAACAAACAACAAUAUUACAAGAAAAGCAGGAACGUGUGCAAGACCCCAUCUCCCACGAUUGUAGUUUUAUUUUUCCCCAAAACAAAAUAAAAUAUCUCAAAACAAAACCCUUUGAACUAAGAUAAUAUCUCCAGCUGGAAGGGAAAAAGAAAAUAUCUCCAAAGCACUGUUUUGCACUCAACGGGUACUACCGUCACCUAGUAAAUCAUCUAUCUUUGCAAGGUAAUCACACUUCCUGCACAAUUUAUGCAGAAACAGCUACACUUUUUCAUCUAUUUCUAAAACCUUACUGUUCCUCCAAAUCAGAAACCACAGAAGCAAGGUAGAGACUACAGAUGCACAAGUGAGGGGACAAAGUUCUCACAAUUAAAUCAGAAACUCUAACUAACCAACAGUUCACUGAAAGAGAUGGUGGCUUUUCUUGGAAGGUCGAAGCUUGGUCGAUUGGAUGAUGAUUGUUAAUGAGGUAGUGGAUUUGGCUAAGAGGAGGAAACAUGAACGUUUGAUUUUUAAAGUGGAUUUUGAAAAGGCUUAUGAUUUGGUCGAUUGGGGCUUUGUGGAAAACGGGUGGGGUGGAUAAAGGAUCGUGUGUUUGGGGGUAACGUGUCUAUUCUAGUGAACGGUAGCCCAACGGAGGAAAUUAGUAAGCAAGGUGAUCAUUUGACACCUUUCUUGUGUAGCCGAAGGUUUUAGUAGGUUGAUGUCCAAUGUGGUGAAUCAAAAUAGGUAUAAGGGUUUUGAGGUUGUUAGAGGAGGGACGGUGAUUUCACAUCUUCAUAUGCGGAUGAUACUCUUUGUAUAGGGGAAACAACUGUUGAAAAUCUUUACACCUUGAAGGCGAUGUUGAGAGAAUUCGAGAUGGCGUCAAGUUUAAAAGUCAAUUUUCUCAAAGUUGUUUCAUAGGAAUUAAUUUACCCUUGGGCUUUAUGGAGAUGACAUGUAAUUUCUUUCAUUAUAGUGAAGGGUCAAUCCCAUUUACUUAUUUGGAUCUUUCAGUUGGUGCAAAUUCAAGGAAAUUGUUUACCUGAGAACCUUUGUUGGAGAAAUUGAGAAAUAGACUAAAUUCUUGGAGGAAUAAAUAUGUGAGUUUUGGAAGGCGAAUAAUCCUUCUUAAUUUGGGGUUGAACGCAGUCCAAAUUUUUUACUUGUCUUUCUUGAAGAUGUCGACGAGAAUUGUAAGAAUUCUAAGACUUUGUUUGGGAGUUUGGAGGGAAGAGGAAUGGAGGGCUUAUGGGGUGGAAAAUAUACGGGGAAAUAGAGAAAUGAUUCACAUUUUUUAAAAGAGCAAUUUUUUUAGAUAGUGAUAAAUUAAUGUUUAUGAUUAAUGAUUAAUAUAUUUUUAUUUUUAAAAAUAUUAUAACAACAAAUGUUAAAUUUAUUUAAAGAAUUCAUGUAAACCUUUAAAACCCUCCAAAACCUUUCUCUAAUACAAUUUGAGUUUCUCCAAAUGAUAUGAAUUUUGUAUUAUGAAGAAUAUAUGUCUUCUAUUUCUUUCACUUGCUCCUUCCUUUUUUUUAAUGUCUUCUAAUACCCUCCUCUAAAAAUAUUAUAUGAAGAAUAUAUGUCCUCUAAUACCCUCCUCUCCUAAUGUCUUCUAUUUCUUUCACUUGCUCCUUCCUUUUUUUUUUUUUUUUUUUUUUCUAAACCCCUCCCUUCUUCUCCAAACUCGCAAACAAAGCUAAGAGAAUUUCUAUAGGGAGUAGAGGGUGGAUGGAGAGUUUGUUAAGUUAUACCAUGAGUUGUACAUCAAUCAUUUAAGCUUUGACGAGUUCUUCAAAUUAAUUUAAUUUCUAUAGGGACUGAAAUGCAAUUUUGUUUAGUGAAUGUGAUAUUUUUCAUGUUCAAAUGGUCAUGUAGGGAUUGAAAUGCAAAAAAAGCGAAUUAUAGGGGCUAACAUGAUAAUUUUUUAGGACCAAAAUGAAAUAAUUUUUUUUCACAAAGACCAUUUUGAAAAAUAAUAAUUAAGGGACUAAAAUGAUAACUAUAUUACAAGAACCACACUAUUUUCUUGUCACUUUCCACACAUUACCUGAUUUUACUACAAAUAUCAGACACACACACUUAAACAUUGAUCAUAUAUUAGAGAACAUAUGCAUGACUAAAAUGAAUUAGUUAUAGUUUUAUGUUUAUUGCUACAAGCUGUCAAAAAAACACUAUUGAUUCAGCUGUGGACCUAGUUUAUUAAUGUAAUAAAAUUUAAACAUAAAGCAAGUGUGACAUGUAAUAUAUAAAAUCCCCUUAAAAAAAAAAUGUAAUAUAUAACAUUAACAACAACAAGAAUAGCAGGAACGUGCGAGCCCAUAGCUCCCACGCUUGAAGCUUUUUCACCCAAAUAUAUAUAUAUAUAUAUAUAUACUAGAACACACCCACAAGUUUUUAUGUGGGAGUUUUAGCAAAGCUACAUUAACCACUUUUUAGUUAUUCACUUGCUAAAAUACUCCUUCUAAAAAAUAAGUGGGUGUAUUCUAGCAAAUGUCUAUAGGAUUUGCUAUAACACACCCACUUGUUUUUUUAGAAGGUGUGUUAUAGCAACAUACACCUUAAGGUGUAUUUAUUAACUUUUUAAUUAUAACUUGCUAAAACAUUCCCACAUAAAAACUAGUGGGUGUGUUCUAACAAACUCCAUAUAUAUAUAUAAUAAAAUUAAAAUAUGCUAAAAAGAAAACCCUUUGAACUAAGAUAAUAUCUAUCUCCAGCUGGAAGGAAAAAAAGAAAAUAUCCCACACACUGUUCUACCCUCAUUGGAUUAGUAAAUCAUUUCCCCUAACAAGGAAAUCACAACUUCUACAAAAAAAAAGUUAUCUCUUUAAUUUUUCUUUUUCCCCAUAUAGAAACCACAGUGAGUUUCAAGAGUUCACGCUCAAAUCAGAAACCCUAACUAACCAACAAUUCACUGAAAUAGAUGGCGGUGAUGGAUAUAUAUACCUGAUGCAACGAUUGUGGCGGUCGAGGAUUCUGUUCUGUGACGGUGAAAUUCAGAUAAUG
This 4326-nucleotide long non-coding RNA is filed under the name Medicago truncatula (barrel medic). RNAcentral describes it as "long non-coding RNA (MTRU_LNC005389)". Lineage: Eukaryota; Viridiplantae; Streptophyta; Magnoliopsida; Fabales; Fabaceae. The record is from RNAcentral.